This 507-nucleotide ribosomal RNA is filed under the name uncultured bacterium. RNAcentral's name for it is "partial 16S ribosomal RNA". It matches the Rfam family "Bacterial small subunit ribosomal RNA", at positions 30 to 543 of the family's 1533-position model. The record is from RNAcentral.
GACGAACGCUGGCGGCGUGCUUAACACAUGCAAGUCGAACGGAAAGGCCCUGCUUUUGUGGGGUGCUCGAGUGGCGAACGGGUGAGUAACACGUGAGUAACCUGCCCUUGACUUUGGGAUAACUUCAGGAAACUGGGGCUAAUACCGGAUAGGAGCUCCUGCUGCAUGGUGGGGGUUGGAAAGUUUCGGCGGUUGGGGAUGGACUCGCGGCUUAUCAGCUUGUUGGUGGGGUAGUGGCUUACCAAGGCUUUGACGGGUAGCCGGCCUGAGAGGGUGACCGGCACAAUUGGAGGAUGGAGACGAAGCAGCCGCCAGCGGGAGGGGGCAGGAGGGAAAAUGGCAGAGGGUGCGGAGGCCUGAGCGAGCAACGGCGGGGGGGUGAUGCCGCCCUGUGGGUUGCAAAACUCUUUCGCCGGUGAAGAAGUGUAGGUGACAGUAAUGGGACAGGAAGCACCGUCCAACUACGUGCCAGCAGCCGCGUAAUAAGAGGAAGAGCACUGGGUAAUC